This is a long non-coding RNA of Oenanthe melanoleuca, 258 nucleotides long. RefSeq lists it as uncharacterized. The transcript is spliced from 3 exons. The record is from RefSeq and is a predicted model, not a curated record. NCBI's taxonomy places the organism in Eukaryota, Metazoa, Chordata, Aves, Passeriformes, Muscicapidae.
CUCCAAACAGGUGACUCUGCCUUCUCUACCCUUGAAGACAUCCACAAUGUCAAGUUAAAGACUUUCCUCAACCUUCUGUGUUCCAAUCCAUUACAUCAACAGCCCAACUGGCAACAACACUGACUCUUUGCUACCAGGCAACACUCAAUAGGUGGUCUUGGGAAAAGGGAUUAAAGAGAGCACUAGGAGCAUUUCUCCAUGACCACAGACUGCCAGGAGGAAACAUGUUCACACAGUCAUGGGAAGGAACAACUCAAC